UGUGCACAUGAUGAGAAACCAUAUGCAACUCACGACGGUCGUCUGAGACACUCUGUGUGUAAUGGUGCAUUCAUAUGUUAUCUGAUGCCU
Molecule: non-coding RNA, 90 nt
Organism: Triticum urartu
Lineage: Eukaryota; Viridiplantae; Streptophyta; Magnoliopsida; Poales; Poaceae
Source: Rfam